CUUUUUUAUUUUCCAAGGAAAUCCAUGAAGCCUAGUGCACACUUUACGAUUCCGUCAUCAGAGACAAAUCUUGGGAGUUGUGCAAAACAUUGUCAGCAUUUUUGCAAGAGCUUACUUGAGUUUGUGCAGCAUCAUUUCAAUUUGAAGAAAUAAAGGAGCAGUAAGUGAUUGGAGUAAAAUCCAAUCUCAAGUGGUCAAAGGAGACACAUGCCAGGUGAAAUGGCUGCCAGGUGUAAACAGCAGUCUGUCUCACCUGCAUCACUCAGAACGGAUGUUCAAUAGCAGGUGUAAACAUAGUCAAAGCACAGUCAGGGCUGAAAUUUGUUCCACCCUUGGAACAUUCCUCAUUAUGAGCACUACCCAACAUUAUUGUGGGAAGGAAAGAUAGAUGCAUGAACAUCCAUGAGUAGGACACAGCUGUUGCAUUUAGUGGUUAUUUGUACUGUACUAGUGAGUAUUUGUGUUGUUUGCUUUAAAAAAAUAAAACUAUAAAUGUGCUCUAUAAUAAGAACAUAAACCAGUUACAUCCAGCAUCCAAUUAUGCCUACUUUUCUACUAUAAAACAGUAUAUAAAAUGAAUAGGGUGUCUGAAUCCACAGUAUUCAUUAAACAGUAUGCAAGAAAUACCCAAAAUGACCUACUACAUCCUGCAAGAUUCUAAAGUGCACAUCCACUGAACACCUUACUAUUCCAAAAGACCAUGGUAACUAAGGUGACAUCAUAUUCA
Molecule: long non-coding RNA, 727 nt
Organism: Myxocyprinus asiaticus (Chinese sucker)
Lineage: Eukaryota; Metazoa; Chordata; Actinopteri; Cypriniformes; Catostomidae
Exons: 4
Source: RefSeq, a predicted model, not a curated record